RNAcentral lists this long non-coding RNA (955 nucleotides) under Bos indicus x Bos taurus (hybrid cattle). RNAcentral describes it as "lncRNA (ENSBIXG00005006880.1)". Lineage: Eukaryota; Metazoa; Chordata; Mammalia; Artiodactyla; Bovidae. The record is from RNAcentral.
UGCAUCUGAUAGGUCUCUGUGUGAUAAAUAUUUUGAAUUGCCUUCUAGGUAAGAGCCUAAUCCUGCUUAGGGAAACAACUUGGAAAGUGGUUUUUUUUUUUUUUUUUUUGAUUUUUAAACUUUUUUUUAAAAAAGUUUUUUAACGUGUGAACUCAUCCAUUAGACUUUACGCUCAAAACACAGGAGCUUGAAGGGGAAAACAAAAAUCAACUCUAAAAUGUUGAAUAGAGAUAUCUUUUUUGUUAUUAAUCUCAGUGUUUAUGAGGAAAGAACCCGUCUCUAAGACUUGAUCCCAUCUCCUUUAUUUGAUGGAUUGUUAAAUCUAUUGAUGAGUGAGUAGUUCAUCCAGCAUCCCCAGCAGCAAGGUCAGUGGAGUGAUUCCUCAAGCCGGCAGGGGAGGAUGGGGUCCUGGUAGAGGAGCCUCCUCCCUGCAGGAGCAUUUUGAGUAUGCAGAACACAGUGGCUCAGCCUGGAGCUGGCAGUUAGUGCUCUCACACACACACACACACACACACACGCAGCAGCGCUUUCCCCUCAAGUGAGGCGGCGUUAGUAACUGCAGUCCCGGCAUCCUAGGCUGGGGACCAGCGGCUACUGGCUGGUUUGUUAGAGGACCCUGGAGCCCAGUUUCCGAGGGACCCGGUGACACGCCGCUGUCACAACUAGUGACAGCUAUUUCUUCCCUGCUGCUUCCCCAGCUCCUGGCAAGAGGACACCCUCUUCCAAAAGCCAGGCAGCCCGGGGAGGAGGCUGCUCCCUGCAGAAGGUGGAUUCUUUACCAUUGAGCCACCUGGGAAGCCCCCUGAGCCAGGAGAGGAAAGGUUUAUUCGUAUACCUUGCAAAUGCUUAUUGAGCUACCAUAAUACAUCGGGUACUCUGCUAGGUACUGGAGAUAAAAUAAUGUCAAGAGAGCAUCUGUUCAGCUCUUUGAACUAUGGGUAAGUAUAUUUUAGAA